CUCUAAUACAUAUGUUUUGGUCAUGUCCAUCCCUCAAACAAUACUGGAUUAAUAUUUUUCUGACUUUAUCAAAGACCAUCCAGCUAACCCUCCAACCUGUGCCCUUAACUGUUUUGUUUGGGGUUCUUCCUGAUACAGUUGCCUUGCCGACGCCCCAAGCGGAUCUGGUAGCAUUUCUCACCUUAUUGGCAAGACGCAGAAUAUUGUUAUGUUGGAAGUCCCCUUCUCCCCCAUCCUGGGAAAUCUGGAUCAGAGACGCUUUGCAUUUUAGCAAACUCGAAAAGAUUAAAUUCACCCUGCGUGGGUCUAUGGCCAAAUUUUUUAAGACCUGGCAACCCUUGUUUGACCAUGUUCAGACUUUGCGGUCUCGCAACGCUCCCAAUUAGCCAGCUUAGACUUUAUUAGAUUUUAUUUUAUCUUAUGUUUAAGUAAGAUGUUUAAGUUUAAGUAUAUGGACUCUAUUGUGCCUGCGCCUUAUGAUGGCUUACUUACCUACUUUAUACAUAUUUCUUUUCUCUUACAGAAUUGACUUAUCUCUACAACUAAGCUGACCACUCAUUAUGUUUGUGUUUUAUUUGUGUUUUUUUUUUGUUUUGGUUUUUCUUGGUUUGUGUGUUUUGUUUUUUCUGUGUCUGUGUGGGGGUGUGGGCUUUGAAACUCUCCACAUAUCUCUUGUACACUCAGGAACUGUUAUCUUGUACUCCAGGGUUUGCUACUCGUAUUAUUAGAUUGGACCCUUUCUUUUUUCUUUUUGUACACCCACUGAUACUCCUAUAAUUAUGAGGUGGGAGUGUAUGUUUCAUAUUGUUUUAUGUUCUUCAUAAAACCUUAGAAAAACCAGUCUUGAGAUAUUUCUUGUCCCAGUCUUGACGUUUCAGCUUGUGUGUCUUGUUCAGUGGUGGUCGUCUUUCAGCCUUUCUUACCUUGGCCAUGUCUCUGAGUAUUGCACACCUUGUGCUUUUGGGCACUCCAGUGAUGUUGCAGCUCUGAAAUAUGGCCAAACUGGUGGCAAGUGGCAUCUUGGCAGCUGCACGCUUGACUUUUCUCAGUUCAUGGGCACUUAUUUUGCGCCUUGGUUUUUCCACACGCUUCUUGCGACCCUGUUGACUAUUUUAAAUGAAACGCUUGAUUGUUCGAUGAUCACGCUUCAGAAGCUUUGCAAUUUUGAGACUGCUGCAUCCCUCUGCAAGAUAUCUCACUAUUUUUGACUUUUCUGAGCCUGUCAAGUCCUUCUUUUGACCCAUUUUGCCAAAGGAAAGGACGUUGCCUAAUAAUUAUGCACACCUGAUAUAGGGUGUUGA
Astatotilapia calliptera (eastern happy) is the source of this 1301-nucleotide long non-coding RNA. NCBI's taxonomy places the organism in Eukaryota, Metazoa, Chordata, Actinopteri, Cichliformes, Cichlidae. The record is from Ensembl.